RNAcentral lists this ribosomal RNA (450 nucleotides) under uncultured bacterium. Its description in RNAcentral is "bacterial SSU rRNA". It matches the Rfam family "Bacterial small subunit ribosomal RNA", at positions 354 to 796 of the family's 1533-position model. The record is from RNAcentral.
GUGGGGAAUAUUGGACAAUGGGCGAAAGCCUGAUCCAGCCAUGCCGCGUGUGUGAAGAAGGUCUUCGGAUUAUAAAGCACUUUAAGUUGGGAGGAAGGGCAGCAAGUUAAUACCUUGCUGUUUUGACGUUACCGACAGAAUAAGCACCGGCUAACUUCGUGCCAGCAGCCGCGGUAAUACGAAGGGUGCAAGCGUUAAUCGGAAUUACUGGGCGUAAAGCGCGCGUAGGUGGGUUUGUAAGUUGGAGGUGAAAUCCCCGGGCUCAACCUGGGAACUGCCUCCAAAACUGCAUGACUAGAGUACGGUAGAGGGUAGUGGAAUUUCCUGUGUAGCGGUGAAAUGCGUAGAUAUAGGAAGGAACACCAGUGGCGAAGGCGACUACCUGGACUGAUACUGACGCUGAGGUGCGAAAGCGUGGGGAGCAAACAGGAUUAGAAACCCCUGUAGUCC